Hylaeus anthracinus is the source of this 968-nucleotide long non-coding RNA. RefSeq lists it as uncharacterized. The record is from RefSeq and is a predicted model, not a curated record. NCBI's taxonomy places the organism in Eukaryota, Metazoa, Arthropoda, Insecta, Hymenoptera, Colletidae. The transcript is spliced from 3 exons.
UUUAUAAUAAUUAUGUUUAGUUUUAAAUGUUACGUCUGGAAGAGUGAAUGGAGGUGCGCGUUGCGUGACAAGCGUUGAGUGAAUGUUUAGAUUAUUGGUUCGAACGUCGAGCGGAUGUUUAUAUGAUUGGGUCGAAUGUUCCUUUGGGUGAAUGCAUUUAUUUAAACAGAGUGCAAGCGUUGUGAGAAUGAAGGAAGAAUGUCUGCGAUGAUUGGGGGAACGAAUGAUGAGUCUAUAAGCUAGUCUAGUAAGAGAAGCCACGGAGUACAGACGCGAUCGUUCCAUUAAAAAGUCUUAAAAAGCACAUGAGUCUUACUUAUUUUCCCGUCAGCCACUACAAUAUAUAAUACAUAGCAAAUAUACUGCACAUAUUAUAUAAAUAUUUAUAUGUAUCAAACAUGCAGUUGAUACAUAUUGGACAAGAUAUAAUGCGUAUCAUAUUUACUAGCUGGCGCCAUGAAAGUCGAGCAUGUUUUUGUUAUUAUGCAGCAAUUUAUUGAAUAAAGUGUUGGUUAGAUAGGUGAAAAAUGAUUUAGUUAGUCGAAACAAUUAGAUGGAUAAAAAAAAUUAGCGUACUAAUGGUAUUAAUUCUUUCAUAAAUGGUUGUAAAUAUUCAUUGGCAUUGUUUGGUUUCUUUUGAUCUUAAAAUAUCCCAAUUACAUGCACUUGUUUUGAAAUAUCAUAUUGGCCAGAAAACACUUGGCGAUGAUUUGAAUAUUGUGACAAUAAUAAUGAAGAAGGACAUAACACAUGAGAAGUAACCACAGUCGAUGAAGAUUCUAUUGAUAUUGAAGAACAAGGGGAAAUGCAAUUUAAUCAUUAAACUGUGACAGUUCAAGUGAUGAUGCAGGUGCUUUUGAAAACACCUAAGAAAACUGCUGAAAUAGUGUAUUAGCUGGAGGAUCAUAUUAUCACGUUGGUCUAUAGAAACAAUCCUGCAAUUAAAAGUAGCUAGUAUUUACCAUUAU